Molecule: ribosomal RNA, 465 nt
Filed under: uncultured bacterium
Lineage: Bacteria
Description: partial 16S ribosomal RNA
Rfam family: Bacterial small subunit ribosomal RNA
Source: RNAcentral
CCUACGGGGAGCAGCAGUGGGGAAUAUUGCGCAAUGGGCGAAAGCCUGACGCAGCGACGCCGCGUGCGGGAUGAAGGUCUUCGGAUCGUAAACCUCUGUCAGCAGGGAAGAACGGUCACUGUGCUAAUCAGCAGUGAAUUGACGGUACCUGCAAAGGAAGCACCGGCUAACUCCGUGCCAGCAGCCGCGGUAAUACGGAGGGUGCGAGCGUUAAUCGGAAUUACUGGGCGUAAAGCGCUCGUAGGCGGUAUGUCAAGUCAAGGGUGAAAUCCCCGCGCGAAACGUGGGAACUGCCUUUGAAACGGGCAAACUGGAGUGUGUGAGAGGAUAGUGGAACUCCAGGUGUAGGAGUGAAAGCCGUAGAUAUCUGGAGGAACAUCAGUGGCGAAGGCGACUAUCUGGCACAUAACUGACGCUGAGGAGCGAAAGCGUGGGUAGCAAACAGGAUUAGAUACCCUUGUAGUC